GCUGAUAUGGCUCAGUUGGUAGAGCGCACCCUUGUUAAGGGUGAGGUCCCCAGUUCGACUCUGGGUAUCAGCACCA
Molecule: transfer RNA, 76 nt
Filed under: Klebsiella pneumoniae
Lineage: Bacteria; Pseudomonadati; Pseudomonadota; Gammaproteobacteria; Enterobacterales; Enterobacteriaceae
Description: tRNA-Asn(gtt)
Rfam family: tRNA
About the family: Transfer RNA (tRNA) molecules are approximately 80 nucleotides in length.
Source: RNAcentral